UACGGUGGGGGCAAGCGUUGUUCGGAAUUACUGGGCGUAAAGGGCUCGUAGGCGGCCAACUAAGUCGGAUGUGAAAUCCCCAGGCUCAACUUGGGAACUGCAUCCGAUACUGGAUGGCUUGAAUCCGGGAGAGGGAUGCAGAAUUCCAGGUGUAGCGGUGAAAUGCGUAGAUAUCUGGAGGAAUACCGGUGGCGAAGGCGGCAUCCUGGACCGGCAUUGACGCUGAUGAGCGAAAGCUAGGGGAGCAAACGGG
Molecule: ribosomal RNA, 253 nt
Filed under: uncultured bacterium
Lineage: Bacteria
Description: partial 16S ribosomal RNA
Rfam family: Bacterial small subunit ribosomal RNA
Source: RNAcentral